Molecule: non-coding RNA, 70 nt
Organism: Phrynosoma platyrhinos (Desert horned lizard)
Lineage: Eukaryota; Metazoa; Chordata; Lepidosauria; Squamata; Phrynosomatidae
Source: the annotation of a GenBank genome assembly
GCCAACAUAACAUAAUGAUUGUGUGUUGGACUCUGGCUCUGGAGUCCAGAGUUCAAUUCCUGGGUUGGCC